AGUGUUGAGUAUCGAUACCCAAGA
RNAcentral lists this microRNA (24 nucleotides) under Ananas comosus (pineapple). RNAcentral describes it as "microRNA s1281_c032b". The record is from RNAcentral. Lineage: Eukaryota; Viridiplantae; Streptophyta; Magnoliopsida; Poales; Bromeliaceae.